Ylistrum balloti is the source of this 2971-nucleotide long non-coding RNA. RefSeq lists it as uncharacterized. The transcript is spliced from 8 exons. NCBI's taxonomy places the organism in Eukaryota, Metazoa, Mollusca, Bivalvia, Pectinida, Pectinidae. The record is from RefSeq and is a predicted model, not a curated record.
UUUUAGUACAAUAUACUUAAGCGGUUGUAUUUUAAUUACUUGUAUAUUUUUUGUAAAAACGUUUUGCCUGAUAAUGUAUACCUUCUUUGUACAUAUGUAUGUGUGUUGUACAUGAGUUGUUGUCAGCUACAGACUGGACAUGUGACACUUGACGGACUUUGACCAAGUUGUUAAAUGGUUGAAGGUUUCUGCCUUGUGGGUUUCUUUUUUUUGUCCCUAGUACUUCGGUACAUUUGAAUUCUAUCUCUCCAAGUGAACGAUUCAAUUAUUUUGUCAGUACAACUGAAUAUUUGCAUUAUGGCAUUUGCACCUGCUUUUGUGGUGACAGAAUGAUGUGGUGUCAUCUGUGCUGUCGUGUGUAACAUUAAUACACGAUACGUGUUAAUCUCUCUCUUUUAAUAGAGGUAAACAAAUUGAACCCAGUAGCUUUGUGAUGAUCAUACUGCUGCAAAUGGCGCCCAUCUAGGGACCCAAUGUUGAUCGAGGGUCCAGGGUACUUUGUAUUUAUCAUAACACAAUGACUAAACACAGUGUUUACUUGGGGUUGACCGAAAUAUUUAUUUCAUCGUAAAGUGGUUUUCCAUAGUUAGUACUUCGCGUUAAUAUCCAUUACAAAAGAUAGUUCCUAAUCAACAUACAGAAGCAUCCUCAGGUUCUAUCAGUUACCCGUCCAUAUUAAAGUGUUCCAUACAAAUGUCCUUGGGCCGACUUAGCCAGGGCCCGCUCCAUCGCAGAGCAAGUCCCAUACAGGACUCUGCCUGUCUCCACAACCAACUCCCAACUCUCUCUAGCUUCUUGAUCCCAGACUGACUUCUGCUGGUUAUUAUUAUAGUAUAGAUAAUACCCAAAUAUUUAAUUUCAGCCCAGUACAUAUUGGACACCAAUAAUCCAGCCCCCGGAGCAUCUAAUUAUUAAGGCACAUGCGACUAGGAGUACCCGUCACCAAUUUCCCAUCUUUGAUCUACCUUAUACAUUGUUUCUUAUCUUGUUUACUUACAAAUACGUUCGCCAGCAGGAGGCAGACAGGAGAGAGCAUCUACCUGUUCAGAUCACUCAUACCAGCGAUAUUCUGCCAUGGUGUUUCAACACUGAGGUGCACACGCCUCCCGUUAUCAGGCGUGCAUCACUACCUGUCACUCACAGGUCGUUAAGCCUGGUCCAGUGCCUGACUUAUGAUACCUGUUCUUAUUGCUCCCUGAGAUACCUUUUGUACUUUAAUUUCUGACCCAAAAUGUACUUUUACUAUCCAUUUUGUUACAUUAUUGACGUGAUCGUCGGAACCAAAUUCCACUGGAACUUUUUACCUGGGGUACAUCUGUUGGAAGACACCACUACCAGAUGAUGUUGACAGUUACACAAGUGUUUCCUUUAGGCCGAUAGGCUACCGUGGACACAUUUCUUCACUAGUGUUGUUUACCUGGAAUUUUGACCUGUACUGAAGAUGGACAAUAAACUGUGACACUCCUGCAGUAAGCGUUUCAGCAACACCACAAUCCAGUGGAGAUGUGCUGUAUGCAACAAGUCCACGUGAUGCCACACUUUGAUGAGCCAGGGAAGGACCAAUUUUACCCCUGGAUCUGCAAAGCACAUUUACCCUCUCCUAUCACUCAGUGGUCACACAUGUCAUCUAGAAUCAGAUAUGUGAAGAUGCCAAUGCACAGAUAAUUGUUCUGGAGCGGUGUGUGGUCGACAACAAAUUGGUGUAUUCAUCGACAAUCUGGUUAUACAAACAACGAUAUGAUGGGUGGUCCUGAGGCCGGUUGUCUCCCCUACAUAGAUGGAUGUUAGGAUCUAGCUGACCUCUCCUGUAGUCAGACUUCCAAGCGGACCUGGACUUUUUCGCAUGCUGCUUGUGCUGUUCUGCUAACAACAACAUACUUCUUUUCUUGACAGCAGGAGCUCCAACACCAACAUCUCGUCCUCCGAUGUCAUUCGAAGUUGAUUGAUCUGGUUCGAACUAAGGAACAUUGAUCGCACCCACCAGUUGUCACUGUCACCACCAGAGCACACCAUGGAAUGCUGCUUGCACUUAGAACAGUCACCUGUGUAGCAGGAUACAGUAGCAUCUAACACUGCAGGAGUAAUUAGCAUUCCAGAUUAAAUACCAGCCAGGCAGCCACCUUCUCGACGUUGACGCUUGUCAAAGUGAUUUAACAUAACACAAAACAAUUUCUGAAAAGAGGAGGCCUCCACUUGGCAGAACUGGUAACGUAGCACCAACAUCUAGUCCUCAGGUGUCAUUUGAAGAUGGAGAUGGCUAAAACUUGGGACCAUCGAGCAUACCAGGAAUGCUGUCUACACUUGGAACAGUCUCCAGAGUAGCAGAUCCUGGCUGUACCAGAACAGAAAACAGAGCUUGUGUUCACUGGAUUUGGUCCCAGUAGGAAGGACAUUUUCUGGACUGGGAUAAAGAUGUGGUAUAAAGGAUAGUGAGAGGGAUGACAGUUUCACCUUGCCUUCACAAGAUAAGACACAUGAGGCACUGAGGAAGGUGGCAGUCUCAUUUUACCAUUUGGGUUUGAUAAAUUGAGAGAUAGCUGUCUGGCCUCUUUCCAGAAUUUAAAACCAACUGUAUGAUGAUGGGAACAGACAGUUAACACCCUUUGUAUUUAAUUACUACAAUUAUAUAAUGAUGUAUGCAGCACAGUAUCUUGAGACUUCAUUGUGUGAGGUCUUUUCUGAUGGAAGUCAAAGUCAGAGUAGUGAUGAUUUGUGAUCCUGAGGCCGAUUAUCUCCCUUAGACUGAUGAACAGUUAGACUUUUAGGUAGACAAUGUAAUUUGUGGAAUGGUGUUGUGUCUGUGAUGCCUGUGUGAAUAAAUAUGCAAUAUACAUUAAGAAGGAUAAUUUCUAAAGAUUUUCCUGGAAUCUUCUCUUUUUCAGAUUGUUUUAUAUUUUCCCUUGGGAUAUUGUGUAUUUGUAAUUUUUACAGUUUUUGUUCUUUUUAUGUAAUUAACAUUUUUGUAUUUUUU